This 253-nucleotide ribosomal RNA is filed under the name uncultured bacterium. RNAcentral describes it as "partial 16S ribosomal RNA". It matches the Rfam family "Bacterial small subunit ribosomal RNA", at positions 524 to 776 of the family's 1533-position model. The record is from RNAcentral.
UACAGAGGGUGCGAGCGUUGUCCGGAAUCACUGGGCGUAAAGGGCGCGUAGGCGGUACGUCAAGCGUGCGGUGAAAGCCCGAGGCUCAACUUCGGGUCGGCCGUGCGAACUGGCGCACUCGAGCACAGUAGAGGCAGGUGGAAUUCCGGGUGUAGCGGUGGAAUGCGUAGAGAUCCGGAAGAACACCGGUGGCGAAGGCGGCCUGCUGGGCUGUGGCUGACGCUGAGGCGCGACAGCGUGGGGAGCAAACAGG